UAACCCGGUGCGUCCCCCACUACUUCAACUACACUGGUCCUCUUAUCAGAUUUGUCCCCAGCUCCCGCUGCCCUACCUCUCCUGGAGGAUCUCUCAGAUCCAUCCCCGCCGCCAUACCUCUCCCGGAGAGGAUCCCUAUCUCAAAUCUAUCCCCGCCGUCCUACAUCACCCGGAGAGGGUGUGACGUGUGCAAGCGUCGCCCAUUGGUGGAUGCAUGAUGGGCCGCUUUGCCUCUCCUGUGGCCAAGGUACGGCUCAAGGGGUAGCGCGUGAUGGUGAUGUGGUGCGAGGGGAUGGUCUUCUCAGGCGGCUUGCAGCGAGGGAGGGCAUGGCUAGGGGCACCUAGCGGACAUUGGUGACGGAGGAGGCGAGGGACACGCAGAGCAUAUGAAGGAAGCUGAGGAACUACAGAGAACACUGAUUAGAUACGACGAUGUUGUUCCCAACCUCGUGCGCGAGUUGGCCCAUGGGGCUGACGAAUCUUUUGGUAAUUUUGAUCCAUUCCCCCUCUCAUUCAAUAUCUUUGUGUCAGACCCCAAAGAACUCGAGCUCUGAACAUGGCGAAAACACGCACGCGAACUGGAACACAGAGAUGGUGGAAGAUUCUGGAAACUUCCCGAGAACCAAGAGAACUACUGGCCUACACUACCAACUACCAGACAACAGAAAUGAGCAUCACAUAUCCAUUCCCAUUUUCUCUAUAGGUUUUAGCAUCCAAUGUUCAUGCAUAGUUAGAGAAUUAGAGUUUACAAAGGUGUAUUUCGCCAGACAAAACGGAAACAAGACACAAUAACAAAAAUGACGCCAACAGUAAGAAUCAGGGUGGUAGAUAUUUCCCGCCUCAAUGCUGACCGUUUGAUCUUCAUAACUGGACCCUACUGCUUCACGCUUCGUUUCUUCAGUCUUGAGAAAAUCUUCAGAGUUUCAGUUUUCUUCAGUCUGAAUUUUUCAAGUCUGACAGGUCUCCCCUCUUGAGCUUCACCUUGUCCUCAAGGUGUAAAAUCAGGAAAAGUCUUCUGGAUGAAUUAAACAUCUUCCCAUGUGGCAUCUUCCUCAGAUAAAUUCAACCAUUUGAUCAACCAUUGGCCUACAGGUUCUCCCUUCCUCGGAAAAACUCUUCUUGCCAGGACAGCAACAAGAGCAAUUUUCAGUUUACCAUUUUCCCCCACCAAAGGCACACCCGACAGAGGUACUACUCUAUCAUCUACAUGUUUCUUCAACUGGCUAACGUGAAAAACUGGGUGAAUAACAGAAUCAGUGGGCAAUUGUAGCUUGUAAGCAGCUGGUCCCAUUUUCUCCAAGAUUUUAAAAGGGCCAUAAUAUUUAGAUCUGAGUUUCAGAGAACCUAUUAGUCCAAAUGCAUUUUGCUUGUAGGGUUGUAUCUUCAGAUAAACCAAAUCUCCCACUUCAAAAACCCUUUCACUUCUUUUCUUAUAUGCAUACUUUUUUAUCCUUUCUUGAGCUACACGUAAGUUCUGCCUCAAUUCCUUCAGCAUGUGUUCUUUCUGAGGUAUGGUUACCUGGGCCUCAUCUGAAAUAUUGCAUGGCAAAGAGAAUUCUCCCAAUUGGGGUGGAGGGUAUCCAUACAAGGCUUGGGAAGGAGUAACUUUCAAAGAUGUGUGGUAUGUGGUGUUGUACCACCACUCAGCAGUAGGCAACCACAAACCAGUCCUGGGGUUCCAUGAAUACCAUAGCUCUCAAAUACGAUUCUAACCAUUGAUUCACUCUUUCUGUCUACCCAUCAGUUUGCUUGUAAAAAUUCUAUCGCUACCACUUAUGAUGGAAAUAGGUAACUCAUGCAACUUAAAGAUCUGGUCCAGGAAUACUUGCACUACUUGUUGUACUAAAUAGGGAUUUGCCAUAGCAAUGAAAUAUGCAUAUUUGGUCAGUAUGUCCACUAUCACAAGAAUAACAUCUUUUCCUUUAGAUUUUGGCAAUCCUUCUAUAAAAUCCAUGGUAAUAUGGGCCCAAGCCAUCUCAGGAAUAUCUAAAGGUCCAACAGACCAGUACUGGCUACAUUCUCAGUUUUAGUCAAUUGACAAAUGAGGCAUUCAGAUAUAAACUUCUCAAUUUGAGCUUUCAUUCUAGGCCAAUAGAAUUUCUUUUUUGUGAUAAGUUGCUCUCAUACCUUUUUUUUUUCUCGAACACGCAGGAGAACUACGUAUCUUUGUAUUAAAGAGAGAAGGAACAAAUACAAGGACCCCGAAGAAGAGGGGUUAACUCAAACACCCACACCAACAGACCUCAGGUCACAAACACAAAACCCACAACAUACACCAUAAAACAUACGCUCCAAAGAGAGAUAGCGUGUUGACCAACACAAACCGACUAGCCGACCUAAUCUGGCCAGAGGGAUCUCAGGCCUUUUGCCCCAGCGAGGCAUCACAACCUGCACUCGUCGUAGAUAUCACGAAGGACAUCCGCAAUUCUUGGUGUUUCUUCGUUGAAGAGGCAUUCAUUGCGAUGUUUCCAAAUCCACCAAGCUCCCAAGAUGAUGAGGGAGUUAAUCCCUUUACGGCGAGGCUUGUCAACCUGUCGAUGAACUCGCCUCCACCAAUCCGAGAACACUAAAUCAUGUUAUUCAGGUGUAAGCUGAAGCAACCCAAACUGAGAAAACAGCAAAAACCACACUUGCCGGGAGAAGAUGCAAUUCGUAAGGAGGUGUUGGGCACUCUUGUCCUCUUGAUCACAUAACGGGCAAUGCUCCGGAUGUUGCAACCCACGACGAGCAAGUCGAUCCGCUGUCCAACAUCGGUUUCUUAUUGCCAACCAUAAGAAAAACUUGCAUUUGAGAGGAGCCCAAUAUCGCCAAAGCCGCUUCCAAGGUUCAAAAUCAAUAGCCCCAUAAAAAUAAUCAUUGUAGGCUGUCUUGGAAGAGAAUUGCUCAGAGUUUGAAUGUCUCCAUAGAUGUUGAUCUUGCUCAUUUGGUUGCAGCUCAAAAUCUUGCAGCGUGUCCCAAACAAUUAGAUACUCCAUAAGGACAUCAACGGACAGCCCACCUUGGAUGUCAAGAAUCCAGCGCUGAUCAGUUAAGGCCUCCGCCACAUAACGCCUUUUUCUUGUCCGGGACGACACCGCAGCCACAAGAGAUGGCGCCAAAUCAGAUAAAGAACAACCGUGAAGCCACCGGUCAGUCCAAAAGAGGGUGGAGUGACCAUUGCCCACCUGCGAAGAGAUAGAGAUGGCAAACAUGGCGACUAUGUUCAGGUGGACAUGUAAUUGCAGACAUGCCCAAGGUCUAUCAGGCUGAGUUUUUUGGAGCCAUAACCAACGCAUACGAAGAGCUCAUCCCAUUAAUUCUAAAUUAUGGAUACCAAGACCUCCAAGAUCUAAAGGCCGACAAACUUUGUUCCAAGCAACAAGGCAAUGGCCUCCAUAUAUCUGCUCCUGACCUUUCCAGAGAAAAGCCCGUCUCCUCUUGUCGAUGGCAUGAAUUGCCCAUUUAGGGAGGUCUAAAGCAAUUAGAUGGUGGAUUGGCAUGGCAGUGAGAACAACCCUCACCAAAAUCAGGCGUCCAGACUUGUUUAGAAGAGCAGAUUUCCAGCCGGGCAACUUGUCCGCAAUCUUCUCAAUCAAGGGCAUCAAGUCAGCUUUAGAAAGUUUCUUAAAAGAGAUUGGUAGCCCCAAAUAAGUGCAAGGGAAAUCAGCAACCUCACAGGACAGCACAUUGUUGAUAUCAUCCCGGACGUUAUCAGGACAUUGAAUAGGGACGGCCGAACAUUUCUGAAUAUUUGUUCGAAGACCUGAUGCAUCACCAAAUGAGGACAGAAUUCCCAUGAUCAACUGCAGCUCAGAAGAGAUAGGCCGAAUAAAAAGAACGACAUUGUUGGCAUAUAAAGAGACUCGAUGUCUGGGAGCAUCCGUGGCCAGCGGAAGAAGAAGGCCAUCCUCACAAGCUUUACUGAUCAGAGAAUUAAGAACAUCCAUAACAAGGAUGAACAACAUGGGGGGAGAGAGGGUCCCCUUGAUGAAGGCCACGCCGGUGCUUAAUCACAUCCCCCGGGUCACCAUUAAGCAAAAUUCGGGUGGUGGCGGAAGAUAACAAAUUGCACAGAAGAUUGCGCCAUAACGGACCAAAACCCAAGUGAGAGAGGACCUCCAAAAGAAACGGCCAAGAAACUGAAUCAAAGGCCUUAGAAAUACCAAGUUUCAAAAACAGCCAAGGCUCUUUUUGGCGAUGAAGAAGCUUCACUGUCUGUUGAACAAUGAUAUAGUUGUCACGUAUGCACCUACCCCGAAUGAAGGUGCUCUGAUUUGGAGAGACCAAUGAGGAAAGCCGCAGAGUGAGGCAGUUAGCCAUUAAUUUGGUGACAAGUUUAGCAAAACUAUGAAUCAAACUUAUGGGCCAAAAGUCCUUGGCCAAGAUAGCAUCUGCCUUCUUUAGAAUAAGAGUCAAAUAAGCAGAAUUCAGCAAGCCCAAUUUGCGACCAUCACCUUUUAGAAGGACCAGAAGAGCAGCAAUAAGAUCUCCUUUUAUAAUACCCCAGCAACAUCGAUAGAAAUGUCCAGUAAAUCCAUCGGGACUGGAGGUCUUCUCUGGUGGCAAUUGUUUUAUAGUCUCCCAGACCUCAUCUUCUGAGAAAGCCGCCUCUAAAGAAGAGAGAUCAAUGGGGCCACGAAAGAAGCUCUGAAGAUCAAGAGUGUUGGUUCUUGUCUCAGUCGAACCAAGAAGACCAGAGUAAAAAUCAAAUAGGACAUCAUGCUUGUCAGAGUGAGCUGUUACAAUCUGAUCGUCGGACUGAAGUUUAACAAUGCAGUUUUUUCUCUUGCGGUAACAAGCUUGCAAAUGAAAGAAAGCUGUGUUGGCAUCUCCAUCUUUCAGCCAACCAAUUCGGGAACGGAGGCGAGCAAUCGUUCUUUCAAGAGAAGCCAAGCCGAGACAAUGCCGCUUCAUAUCGCGCCGCAGCCAUUCUUCAGCCAGAGAAAGAGGGCGAUGAUCUUGGGCAAUCUCAAGACGGUGAAGAAUCUCCUUGGCAGUCUGCAAUUGGAGCUUGACAUCCCCAACUUGUUGAUGGCCCCAAGAUUGGAGAGCCCGAGUCAGCCGCUUAAGCUUGACAGAAAACAAUUCUACGGGGCAAGCGACAUUAACCGGAGCCUCCCAGGAGGCUGUCACUGCCCCCAAGAAUCCGAGAAGUUUGGGCCAAAAACCUUCGAAGUGAAACCGUCUCUUGCCCUUGCCCAAGGCGCCAUCAUUCAAAUCCAGAGUAAGUGGGCAAUGGUCAGACAUUUCAGUAGCUUGGCUUUGCAAGAGGAAGUUUGGGUAGAGCAGCUCCCAAUCAGCUGAGCACAGGACGCGAUCAAGCUUUACCAGAGUUGGCGCCACCCUCUCAUUAGACCAUGUAUAACGACGACCGAGAAGAGGUAAAUCUUUUAACUCAAGAUCAUCAACCAAAUGCCGGAACCUUCCCAUCAUAGCCUGUUAACAUUUGUGUUGCUCUUGUCCACGGAUUGAUAUAUUACAUUGAAGUCCCCUCCGAUCGCCCAAGGACCAGAACAGACCGAACGGAUAUCACGCAGUUCCUGGAGAAAAACGAUCUUGUCUACAUCAAGCUGAGGACCAUAUACGCCCGUGAACCACCAAGCCGGUGCAUCAGCCGAUUUGAACUUCACAGAAAUAGAGUGUCGAUCCACCCAUGAAGCCUCAUCACAAUAAACAAGCCCUUUCCAAGCCACCAGGAUGCCACCCCGAGUGCCAUCAGCAGGGAGGAAGAUGAACUUAUCGAACUCAGAGCCUGGAAGAGAUAGGACCGAGUGAUAAGAAAUAUAUGCUCUCAUACCUAAGUACCUCCAAUUGAAGAAGUGUGGAGGUUCUCUAUGAUCUUCUACCUCAGUUCAGCAUGUUCACCCACAUAUAUUCUCCCUUCGAAUUUAAGAACUACUCCAUCAGUGGUAUAAAACCUAGACUGAGAUUGACCUUGAUUGAUAAGCUCCAAUAGGUCUUUACACUUUUGGUCAUUGAGAUACUGUGCUUGACAUCCUCUAUCCAAUUAGGUGUCAAUACAGUAAUGUUUUGACAUUCUGAAGAUCUCCUUGACAAUGCAUCUGCUGCUAAAUUUUCCUUGCCCUUUUUGUAUUCAACUGAAUAAUCAAAUUCCAACAACUUGAGCAAUAGCUUGUGUUGGAUUCCAUCAAUGUGUAACUAUAUAUUUAAGGCUUUGCUGAUCUUUCCUUAUAAUGACUUUGCUUCCCAGUAGGUAAUGCCUCCACUUCUUUAGUGCCUCUAAGAUUGCCAUUGCUUCCUUGUCAUAAGUGGAUUUAGCAGCAAAUCUUUCUCCCAAUGUUUUGCUGAAAUAGGCUAUAGGGCUCCCUGCUUGCAUUAAUACUGCCCCCAAUUCUGAGCUACAUGCAUCUGUCUCCAGUAUGAAUGGCUCACUGAAAUUUGGUAGUGCAAGCAAUGGGCUUGUGGUUAUGACCACUUUCAGCUGAUUGAAUGCCACUGUUUGAGUAUGGCUCCACUCAAAGGAAUCCUUCUUCAAGGGAUCAAAGAGUGGCAUGCAGAUCUGCCCAUAACCCUUGAUGAAUCUCCUGUAGUAUCCUGUAAGCCUUAGAAAACCUCUUAGUUGAGUCACAUUCUGAGGAAUUGGCCAAUUAACCACAUCCUUAAUCUUACUUGGGUCUGUUGACACCCCCAAUCCACUGAUGAUGUGAACCAAAUACUACACUUGCUUGAUUGCAAACUCCCAUUUGCUCAGUUUAGCAUAAAGCUGCUGAUCUCUAAAUAUGCCCAGCACCAUCCUCACAUUACCUUAAUGUUCUUCUUCAUUCUUUCUAUAGAUAAGUAUAUCAUCAAAGAAUACCAAGAUGUACUUUCCCAGAUGUGGACCAAAAAUCUUGUUCAUUAAGGACUGCCAGGUGGCAGGGACAUUUGUCAGCCCAAAAGGCAUGACUGUGUAUUGAUAAUGCCCUAGGUGGAUUCUGAAAACUGAUUUAGGGAUGUGUUCAGGCCUCAUUCUAAUCUGAUGGUAUCCAGACCACAAGUCCAACUUAGUAAAAAUUGUAGUUCCAUUCAAGGCAUCUAACAAGUCCUCAGUAACUGGCAUAGGGAACUUGUUCUUGAUGGUUAAUGAGUUUAGCUUCCUAUAAUCCACACAUAAUCUUCAGGAGCCAUCCAUCUUCCUAACCAUGACAACAGGAGAUGCAUAUGGGCUCAAACUUGCUUGAUAACCUGACUAUCUAUUAGGCUUCUGAUUAAACCUUCCAUGGCCUCCCUCUUGUAAUGGGGUACUCUAUAAGGUCUAACGUUGGGAGGUUCUGAUCCUUCCUUCAAAUGAAUAGCAUGAUCACAUUCUUCUCAGGUGGUUGCCCCUUUGGUUCAGUGAAGACAUCCAUGAAUUCUGUCACCAGUGGCUUCAACAAGUUAGAAAGCUUCCAAAAGGUUGUUGGGCUGGUGACAGGUAACUUGGUGCUGAAUGUGAUUCUUCAGACCCCCAAUGAAGAAAGCUUCCAAAAGGUUGUUGGGCUGGUGACAGAUCCCAUAGAAAGAGGGCAUGAUGUAGGCCUUGUGAAACAGUAGUGCAAUGGGGCCCAUGAAGAAGAGGUACCAUGGUGCACAUGUCAGUGGUGGUGAUAUAUGGGGAUCCCCUUGUUGAUGUAGACUCAUGAGACUCUUGCAUGUAGAAGAACAUAGGGUAAACAAUGAUGGUGAUGAUGAUGAUGAUGCAGGAGAAGUGGAAGCCACCGUUGAAGUGCAUGAGGCAAACUCUAUUCUUGCGGUGGGCAUCAUUCUAGAAAACUUGCCUCAAUGGAACUCGACUGCACAAUUCGAUCUGAAGAUUUAGUUAUUGGCUACAAACUUUGAUAAAUGAUGAAUGCCCUUUUUUUCUUGACAAUGUGAAAUGUUUUUUUUAUGGAUUAUAUAUAUG
Phragmites australis (common reed) is the source of this 7861-nucleotide long non-coding RNA. RefSeq lists it as uncharacterized. NCBI's taxonomy places the organism in Eukaryota, Viridiplantae, Streptophyta, Magnoliopsida, Poales, Poaceae. The record is from RefSeq and is a predicted model, not a curated record. The transcript is spliced from 3 exons.